GAUGAAGAACGCAGCGAAAUGCGAUACGUAAUGUGAAUUGCAGAAUUCAGUGAAUCAUCGAAUCUUUGAACGCAUAUUGCGCUCUUUGGUAUUCCGAAGAGCAUGCUUGUUUGAGUAUCAGUAAACACCUCAAAGCUUUUGGAUUUUUUAAUCGAAAAGCUUUGGACUUGAGCAAUCCCAACACCAAUCUUUUUGAGAUCGGUGGCGGGUUGCUUGAAAUGCAGGUGCAGCUGGACAUUCUCCUUAGAUAAAAGCAUAUUCAUUUAGUCCCGUCAAACGGAUUAUUACUUUUGCUGCAGCUAACAUAAAGGGAGUUUGACCGUAUUGGCUGACUGAUGCAGGAUUUCACAAGGGUCGGCAACGAUUCUUGUUAAACUCGAUCUCAAAUCAAGUAAGACUACCCGCUGAACUUAAGCAUAUCAAUAAGCGGAGGA
This 434-nucleotide unclassified non-coding RNA is filed under the name soil metagenome. Its description in RNAcentral is "partial contains 5.8S ribosomal RNA, internal transcribed spacer 2, and large subunit ribosomal RNA". The stretch from base 1 to 120 matches the Rfam family "5.8S ribosomal RNA", at positions 35 to 154 of the family's 154-position model. The record is from RNAcentral.